Lathyrus oleraceus (garden pea) is the source of this 2237-nucleotide long non-coding RNA. RefSeq lists it as uncharacterized. The record is from RefSeq and is a predicted model, not a curated record. Lineage: Eukaryota; Viridiplantae; Streptophyta; Magnoliopsida; Fabales; Fabaceae. The transcript has 4 exons.
AAAUAAAUGUUGGAAGCUUCGCCUGACACGUCAAAAGUCCCCCAAAAUCCAACGCAACGGGAGAAUCAAAGAGGCGCAACGACGACGUUGCCGUGGCCGGCGAACAAAUUCCAACACGGAUGAACAGAUCACGGCACCGCCAAAUCAAUGAGUAUCAGUGGUAGAAAUCAAACUCCAACAUUUGAUCGCCGAUUCGAAGCUCGCUUCAUUUAGUCUUAGUGCGUGCGCAAAAGAUUAACCAAAACGAGAUUGAUGCUUACCGAUUCGACGAUGUAGGUGCAUUUGCUUCUCUCACUGUUCGAUUCAAGUCGAUGACGAAGGUUCACGCUCGCGCUUCGUGUUUGUGAUAAAAUUCAAAAUUCGUUCGUUUGCGUUACAGAUGGGGAAGACGAUGAAUUAUUGUUGAUUUCAGGGUGCGGGAUCGUUGCCUGAGGAUCAAAAGGGGCUCUCGAUGAAGAUCUUUCCCCCAAUUUCUUGCUUGAAGGUUUAGUGAUUUUUGAUGGAAGCGUGAUCGAAGAAGUUUGAGAAGGUUAGAGAGGUCAUUUCCAGGCUUACAGGUUGUUGCAGUUAUUAUCGAAUUGUGAGGAGAAUGGUGAUGUUGAAGGUGAACUAUGUUAUGGAGGUUGAAGGUGUUCUAGACCAUUUUGAGGGUGGAAGUUGGUUUUUAAGUUCUGUUAAGAGUUUUUUGGAAGAUGCCGGAAAUUUGGUUAUUCGGUUAGAGGUUGGUUGUGAGGGAGCUGUUAGAGGUUUUGUUCAAUGAAACAAAUGGAGAGCUUCCAAUUCUGUUAUGGCCUUUUGUUAUAUGAUUGAAGACUUUUGGUUCUGUGGCGAUGGAAGGUGAAGAAAUUGGUUUUGAAUCAGUUGUGACAGGUAGGUAGAUAGGUUAGAAUUCUGUUUUGGAUUCUGAACCGAAUUUCUGUUAGGAGGUUAUGGUUCUGUUUUUGUUGGUGUUUGGAAGUGGUUCGAAAUUGGUUGCGAAACGGUUUUAGCAGUUAGUUGAUUUCGGUUGGGGGGUUUUGAAGUUAGUUGCAGCUUUUUGGAUGCGGUUCGUUUCUGUUCUGAAGUGGUUUUAAGAGGGAUGUGAGGUUUGUUAAGGGAUGUUAGAAGAGGGUUUAUAAUGUGAGGGUUGAAGAGUUAUGUUAUGCCUUCAAUUUCUAUUUUGAUUUUCCUCAUCCCAAUGCUAAAUUCGUCAGGUUUUGUUGAACUGAAGUUGGCAUAUCUUGGUUCAGUUUGUGAUGGAGGUUGAAGAAUUGGUUCAAGGGGUCGGAGUGAAGCUGCAGUUCGGUUGAUAGAGAUUGGGAGCAUCUCCUUUCCAAAUUCCAUUUUUCAGGUUUGAACGGGAGAUUGCUGGAGGGAGGUCAGAAGCGGUUGGAAGCCGUUAUAGACUUAUCGAGAAGUUUGGGUUUUAGUGAGCAGGAUUUGGAACGAAGUUUCUGUUUUUGACUUCUGUUUCUCUUUUAUAAUCUAUUAGGGAAGUUGUUAGAGAAUUUGGUUAAUUGGCUUGAAUUGAUUUGGUUAUUUAGAGUUGGUUUUCCUUUUUGGCUUACUCGGUUCCGGUUUUUAUGCAGGUUGGCGGUAUUGUUGCAAUUCAAAGAGCGGUCUGUAUGGAGGGUGAUUCGAAGCUCCGUAAGUUGGUUUUUUGAGUUCUGUCCACAAUUCUUGAAACUGGUUUUGAAGUUGGCGUCAAGUUUUUUUACGGUUCUGUUACAAACCUCUUGGAAGUUAGUCGGAAAUUGUUAUCCCCUUUUUAUGGAGUUGUGUGAAGGCGUUGAAGGUUGGUUUAUUAGAAUCGGUUGGUGACUCCAUCAGUUAGACAUUCUGAAAUGUUAUGAACGCACUCCUCGUUAUUAUGUGGUUAGGUUGAAUGCUGAGUCAUGCUGUUAGGAAUGGAUGUAAUAUCUGCACUUGGACAUGUUAUAAAAUCAUAGAGUUGCUAUGCUUGGAGUGUUACUCAUGGAGCUGGUGUGGUGAAUCAUAUGCCUUGUGGAACAUGCUAAUGGAAUAUUGGAUUGUAUUGAUUGUUAUGCUGAGAUUGGGUAUAGUUGUAAAUGGAAUUAAAAUUAUGUAUUAAAAAUGGUUGUAAUUUUGUUGUAGUGAAUUGGUUUGAAAAAAAUGUAAUUUGAAUUGGUAUUUGGAUGUAAAUGUAUCAUGGUUUUGAAAUUGUAAUUGUAAAUGGAUUUGAAAAUGGAUGUAUGCACGGUUAUUGAUGGUUAAAUGAGAAUGUAUGGAAUUUUGUA